This 162-nucleotide ribosomal RNA is filed under the name uncultured bacterium. Its description in RNAcentral is "partial 16S ribosomal RNA". It matches the Rfam family "Bacterial small subunit ribosomal RNA", at positions 355 to 509 of the family's 1533-position model. The record is from RNAcentral.
UAGGGAAUUUUCGGCAAUGGGCGAAAGCCUGACCGAGCAACGCCGCGUGAGUGAAGAAGGCCUUCGGGUUGUAAAGCUCUGUUGUGAAGGAAGAACGGCUCAUACAGGGAAUGGUAUGGGAGUGACGGUACUUUACCAGAAAGCCACGGCUAACUACGUGCC